Molecule: ribosomal RNA, 237 nt
Filed under: uncultured bacterium
Lineage: Bacteria
Description: partial 16S ribosomal RNA
Rfam family: Bacterial small subunit ribosomal RNA
Source: RNAcentral
GACAGAGGUCCCGAGCGUUAGGCGGAAUCACUGGGCUUAAAGCGUGUGUAGGCGGAUGCCUAAGUACCUUGUGAAAUCCCACGGCUUAACCGUGGAACUGCUUGGUAUACUGGGUGUCUUGAGCUACCUAGGGGCGAGCGGAACAAACGGUGGAGCGGUGAAAUGCGUAGAUAUCGUUUGGAACGCCAAUGGUGAAAACAGCUCGCUGGGGGUAGUGGCUGACGCUGAGAGACGAAA